Argiope bruennichi is the source of this 809-nucleotide long non-coding RNA. RefSeq lists it as uncharacterized. Lineage: Eukaryota; Metazoa; Arthropoda; Arachnida; Araneae; Araneidae. The transcript is spliced from 3 exons. The record is from RefSeq and is a predicted model, not a curated record.
UAUCUACAGCAGGAGUUGAUUUUUCUUCAUUGUCUUCUCCCGAAUCUGUAAAUUCUAAAACAUCAACACAUGAUGACUCUCUGCCUCUACCUGCAUCCAACUGCUCAUCUGUUGAAGACAAUAAACAUCUCAUAUGUACUCCAGCAGUAUGAACCCAUGCCACAAAUAAUCGUCUGAAGACAACUCCCAAAGCAAAGAAAAUAAACACUUUACUUUAAAGUGUUUUCAAAUUAAAGAAACAUCUAUAUGAAAAUUUUACUUCUUUUCGCCUUUUGGGACAGCUACAAGUAAAAUUGUCAGAUAAGCCAUAUUUGUUUGAAUUUAUUCUAUAACAACUGCAUAUGCAAGGGAGGUCAAACAAAGGUCGACCACAGAAAAGUCAUUUGCACUCAAUGUUUAUUUACACGGGCCAAGUGCAUAUCGAAUGCUACAAAAACACUUUGCUUUUCCAAGAAAAGCAAUCUUACACAGAUAUGCUUAUAAUGUUUCUAAAACUCCAAGAUUUUGUCCAAAUUUGAUCAAAUGAUAAAAAACGCAAUCAUCUCGGAUGAAUGAUUCGUAAAAUUAUGUGUUCUUUCACUUGAUGUAAUGUCGAUAAAACCAGGAUUAACAUAUACUACAGACUUAGAUUGCGUCGAUGGGUUCACCAGUUCAGACAGGAAAACGAUGAUAAACUACCUUUUGCAACUGAGGCACUUUUAUUCAUGGCACGAGUCAAAAAUUGGAAACAGGUAUUAUGUUAUUAUUUCACCUCCCCUACAAUUUCAAUUUAAAGAGUUUGGUAAUAGAAGCAAGCGGCAUUUUACAUU